GGAAGGAAUGCCAGUGGUCCUUAGGGGAGACCUUUGUAUCAUGGGGUCACCUGACAUGGGAGGAAGGUCAUGGACAGCUGUGUCAUGGGGCCUUUCAUGUGCUGUUGGAUUUUUCGGAAGGGGCAGUCACCUUGAGAGACAUGCCAUCAGCCUGUGAGGAGGAGGUGCAUUCCUUCUGAGGACAGAUUUGCCUGGGAUCCUGGAAUCACUGUGGCUGAAGCUGGAAGAUUGCUCCAGAGGGGGCAAUUGCCUUGAGAGACAUGACGUCAGCGGACAAGGACAACAUGCAUUCCUUCUGAAGACAGAGUUGCCUGGAAUCCUUGAAUUGCUGUGGCUGAGGCUGGCUGUUCACUCUGGAGGGCCUCUUUGCCUUGAGGAAGGGCAUGGAGCAUGCACAGUCCCAGGCACACUGCUGUGGAGCAUCCAUUGGCUC
Long non-coding RNA from Nycticebus coucang (slow loris), 433 nucleotides. RefSeq lists it as uncharacterized. The transcript is spliced from 4 exons. Lineage: Eukaryota; Metazoa; Chordata; Mammalia; Primates; Lorisidae. The record is from RefSeq and is a predicted model, not a curated record.